UUAACGGAGAGUUUGAUCCUGGCUCAGGACGAACGCUGGCGGCGUGCCUAAUACAUGCAAGUCGAGCGGA
Molecule: ribosomal RNA, 70 nt
Filed under: Shouchella clausii
Lineage: Bacteria; Bacillati; Bacillota; Bacilli; Caryophanales; Bacillaceae
Description: partial 16S ribosomal RNA
Rfam family: Bacterial small subunit ribosomal RNA
Source: RNAcentral